GCAGUGAUGUCAACCGCAUCCGCCGCAGUCCCCGGCAGCCCUAAAACGCGCCGCGGCCCGCGGAAACCCCAGCCCGGCUCCUCCCGCCAGGGCCGAGGAGGAGAGGACGCGCGGGUCCCCGGAGUCCCCCACUCCGUCUGCCUAAGCCGUGGAGACCGGGAGUGGACGCACGGCGGUGCCUGGACCCCCGGGGAGGUGGAAGAAGAGGAGAGGGAAGGGAGCUGUGGAGUCAGAUGCGGCUUCCUUUACCUGAAUAAUCCUUUAAAGGAGUAAUAAUUUUUAAAAAGGAGCUCGACCUCAGCCAAAGAGGACGGCGCACGAGAUUAGGGCUUGAUCCACUGCCUUUGGUUGGGCCGGCUGAAUCGCUGGGGACUGCGGCCAGUCUCUUAAAAAAGGAGAACAAAAAGCCGAAGACCUUGUGUGGCCGCCGGGACAAAGCACCUUGGGUUCGGCGAGAAGGGACGCGCAGGAGCGCUGAACCCAGAACACGCGUGGCCGCUGCGGAAGGGCGUCCGCCCGGCGUGCGGAACGCUGAGGGUAUUCGGAUUGUCUUUUAUUUGUCCCUGUGGCUUGCUUUCACAGUGUCUACGUAGGAGAGGGGUCGGGGUUGUUGGGGUCUCUUUUUUUUUCUGGGAGGGGUAGCUGAAUUGUGGGAGACCUAGGUGGACUUGACUUGGCUUUCCUGCUACUCUGCGUCUCCUUCUCAAGAUGCGGGGGUUGGAAAGGGGACAGGGGACUCAAGGCUUAGAAAAGAGAAGGAGCCCUCUGCUGCCUGGAGGGCUAAGGGAGUAGAGAGUGGAGAUGGAGGUGAGUAGGGAUGGGCCAGCCCGAAGAGCACUGAGGAGGAGAAGGGGUCUUCUCCUCCCUCGGGUCCAGUGGAUGAGUUUUGCUGGGAAUGAGAAUUCGGGUGUCUGUCGAUAGGAGCGCUGAGAAAUUGAUGAGAAAUUGACAUGUCCGUGCACAUGCAUGAGGCGGCGACAGGAUUUGUGUGUAAACAGUGUGGA
Molecule: long non-coding RNA, 1004 nt
Filed under: Homo sapiens (human)
Lineage: Eukaryota; Metazoa; Chordata; Mammalia; Primates; Hominidae
Description: non-protein coding LINC00599:14
Source: RNAcentral